CCAGAGGGGGACAACAGUUGGAAACGACUGCUAAUACCGCAUACGAUCCAAUCUCGGCAUCGAGGAUGGAUGAAAGGUGGCCUCUAUUUAUAAGCUAUCACUGAAGGAGGGGAUUGCGUCUGAUUAGCUAGUUGGAGGGGUAACGGCCCACCAAGGCAAUGAUCAGUAGCCGGUCUGAGAGGAUGAACGGCCACAUUGGGACUGAGACACGGCCCAG
RNAcentral lists this ribosomal RNA (217 nucleotides) under uncultured bacterium. RNAcentral describes it as "partial 16S ribosomal RNA". It matches the Rfam family "Bacterial small subunit ribosomal RNA", at positions 133 to 334 of the family's 1533-position model. The record is from RNAcentral.